AUACGGAGGGAGCGAGCGUUAAUCGGAAUUACUGGGCGUAAAGCGCGCGUAGGCGGCUGUGUAAGUCGGAUGUGAAAGCCCAGGGCUCAACCCUGGAAUUGCAUUCGAUACUGCAUGGCUAGAGUAUGGUAGAGGGAAGUGGAAUUUCCGGUGUAGCGGUGAAAUGCGUAGAUAUCGGAAGGAACACCAGUGGCGAAGGCGACUUCCUGGGCCAAUACUGACGCUGUGGUGCGAAAGCGUGGGGAGCAAGCAGGAUUAGAAACCCGAGUAGUCC
This 274-nucleotide ribosomal RNA is filed under the name uncultured bacterium. RNAcentral's name for it is "partial 16S ribosomal RNA". It matches the Rfam family "Bacterial small subunit ribosomal RNA", at positions 523 to 796 of the family's 1533-position model. The record is from RNAcentral.